GCCAGUGAGGCAUAAUGGUUUGAGUGUCAGACUCUGACUCUGGAGACCAGGGUUCAAAUCCCAGCCCUGCCA
Non-coding RNA from Phrynosoma platyrhinos (Desert horned lizard), 72 nucleotides. The record is from the annotation of a GenBank genome assembly. NCBI's taxonomy places the organism in Eukaryota, Metazoa, Chordata, Lepidosauria, Squamata, Phrynosomatidae.